RNAcentral lists this transfer RNA (66 nucleotides) under Acanthoscelides obtectus. RNAcentral's name for it is "tRNA-His". It matches the Rfam family "tRNA". Rfam says of the family: Transfer RNA (tRNA) molecules are approximately 80 nucleotides in length. Their secondary structure includes four short double-helical elements and three loops (D, anti-codon, and T loops). Lineage: Eukaryota; Metazoa; Arthropoda; Insecta; Coleoptera; Chrysomelidae. The record is from RNAcentral.
AUUUAAAUAGUUUAAUAAUAAAAUAUUGAUUUGUGGUAUCAAAGAUGUAAAUUUUUACUUUAAAUA